This 76-nucleotide transfer RNA is filed under the name Olsenella uli. RNAcentral's name for it is "tRNA-Gly(tcc)". It matches the Rfam family "tRNA". From Rfam's summary of the family: Transfer RNA (tRNA) molecules are approximately 80 nucleotides in length. RNAcentral also lists the same sequence under 2 other names. Lineage: Bacteria; Bacillati; Actinomycetota; Coriobacteriia; Coriobacteriales; Atopobiaceae. The record is from RNAcentral.
GCGGCGGUAGUUCAAUUGGUAGAGCAGCAGCCUUCCAAGCUGCUUGUUGCGGGUUCGAGUCCCGUCCGCCGCUCCA